Molecule: non-coding RNA, 182 nt
Filed under: Magnetococcales bacterium
Lineage: Bacteria; Pseudomonadati; Pseudomonadota; Magnetococcia; Magnetococcales
Description: 6S RNA
Rfam family: 6S / SsrS RNA
About the family: E. coli 6S RNA was the first non coding RNA to be sequenced, but its function was unknown until recently.
Source: RNAcentral
CGGCCCCUGCAGUGUUCGUGAGGAGAGCAACCUCCUGAGCCGAUAACUUAUGAACCUGGGAACUGUGCCCUGAUUGUAGAUCGUCGCCCCUUUUUUAAGGGAUUACCGGAAGCAAUUAUUCACAGAUCCACCUUGACUAAAGGGUUCAGAGAGUGAAAUCCCACGGCACAUGUGGGGGCAUU